GGGGCUGUAGCUCAACCGGGAGAGCGCGAGUUUUGCAAACUUGAGGUAGUGGGUUCGACACCCAUCAGUUCCACCA
RNAcentral lists this transfer RNA (76 nucleotides) under Clostridiales bacterium. RNAcentral's name for it is "tRNA-Ala". It matches the Rfam family "tRNA". From Rfam's summary of the family: Transfer RNA (tRNA) molecules are approximately 80 nucleotides in length. Lineage: Bacteria; Bacillati; Bacillota; Clostridia; Eubacteriales. The record is from RNAcentral.